AGGAGCAUUUAGUAUAGUAGGACGGUGGCCGUGGAAGUCGGUACCCGCUAAGGAGUGUGUAACAACUCACCUACCGAAUUAACUAGCCCUGAAAA
This 95-nucleotide non-coding RNA is filed under the name Ancylostoma ceylanicum. Its description in RNAcentral is "Eukaryotic large subunit ribosomal RNA". It matches the Rfam family "Eukaryotic large subunit ribosomal RNA", at positions 1219 to 1318 of the family's 3401-position model. Lineage: Eukaryota; Metazoa; Nematoda; Chromadorea; Rhabditida; Ancylostomatidae. The record is from Rfam by way of RNAcentral.